CGUACGAUACGAGUUUGAUCAUGGCUACAGAGCGAACGCUGGCGGCAGGCCUAACACAUGCAAGUCGAACGGAUCCUUCGGGAUUAGUGGCGGACGGGUGAGUAACACGUGGGAACGUGCCCUUUGGUUCGGAACAACUCAGGGAAACUUGAGCUAAUACCGGAUGUGCCCUUCGGGGGAAAGGUUUAUCGCCAUUGGAGCGGCCCGCGUCUGAUUAGCUAGUUGGUGGGGUAAAGGCCCACCAAGGCGACGAUCAGUAGCUGGUCUGAGAGGAUGAUCAGCCACAUUGGGACUGAGACACGGCCCAAACUCCUACGGGAGGCAGCAGUGGGGAAUCUUGCGCAAUGGGCGAAAGCCUGACGCAGCCAUGCCGCGUGAAUGAUGAAGGUCUUAGGAUUGUAAAAUUCUUUCACCGGGGACGAUAAUGACGGUACCCGGAGAAGAAGCCCCGGCUAACUUCGUG
This 463-nucleotide ribosomal RNA is filed under the name uncultured bacterium. RNAcentral's name for it is "bacterial SSU rRNA". It matches the Rfam family "Bacterial small subunit ribosomal RNA", at positions 1 to 507 of the family's 1533-position model. The record is from RNAcentral.